Molecule: ribosomal RNA, 194 nt
Filed under: uncultured bacterium
Lineage: Bacteria
Description: partial 16S ribosomal RNA
Rfam family: Bacterial small subunit ribosomal RNA
Source: RNAcentral
CCUACGGGAGGCAGCAGUGGGGAAUAUUGCACAAUGGGCGCAAGCCUGAUGCAGCCAUGCCGCGUGUGUGAAGAAGGUCUUCGGAUUGUAAAGCACUUUAAGUUGGGAGGAAGGGCAGUAAGUUAAUACCUUGCUGUUUUGACGUUACCGACAGAAUAAGCACCGGCUAACUUCGUGCCAGCAGCCGCGGUAAU